RNAcentral lists this ribosomal RNA (492 nucleotides) under uncultured bacterium. Its description in RNAcentral is "partial 16S ribosomal RNA". It matches the Rfam family "Bacterial small subunit ribosomal RNA", at positions 29 to 507 of the family's 1533-position model. The record is from RNAcentral.
AGUGAACGCUGGCGGCAGGCCUAACACAUGCAAGUCGAACGGCAGCACAGUAAGAUCUUGCUCUUACGGGUGGCGAGUGGCGGACGGGUGAGGAAUACAUCGGAAUCUACUUUUUCGUGGGUGAUAACGUAGGGCAACUUACGCUAAUACCGCAUACGACCUACGGGUGAAAGCAGGGGAUCUUCGGACCUUUCGCGAUUGAAUGAGCCGGAGCCGCAUUAGCUAGUUGGCUGGGUAAAGGCCCACCAAGGCGACGAUGCGUAGCUGGUCUGAGAGGAUGAUCAGCCACACUGGAACUGAGACACGGUCCAGACUCCUACGGGAGGCAGCAGUGGGGAAUAUUGGACAAUGGGCGAAAGCUUGAUCGAGCAAUGCCGCGUGGGUGAAGAAGGCCUUCGGGUUGUAAAGCCCUUUUGUUGGGAAAGAACAGAAGUAGGUUAAUACCUCGCUGUUCUGACGGUACCUAAAGAAUAAGCCCCGGCUAACUUCGUG